This is a long non-coding RNA of Triplophysa rosa, 604 nucleotides long. RefSeq lists it as uncharacterized. The record is from RefSeq and is a predicted model, not a curated record. The transcript is spliced from 6 exons. Lineage: Eukaryota; Metazoa; Chordata; Actinopteri; Cypriniformes; Nemacheilidae.
CUUGCGAGUUGAGAAGUUUUGCUUGCGAACAAGGCUGUAUCUUAGUGGGCGGUCUCUAGACUCCAGGAUGAAAGACCUCUUAUUGGUCACUUUCAAUCGAAGUGCCACGCCCACUAGCCUCCUCCUUCAUGGCCGCCAGAGCGGUGUAGCGGUAUGAAGAGCAACACGUCAUUUGCAAGGGUGCACCACUUCAGCUUCAAGGGAAUGACUGUGGAAUAUUCAUGUUAAUGUACGCCAUGUAUGUGACCCUUGGAAAGCCCUUCGAUUUUUCGACAUUAGACAUGCCUGAAUCAGGAGGUGGUGGUGUCAUCAGUUACUACAGGCAUUUCCUCUGGCAAGCCAACAGUCAGUCACCAAACCAAUGAUCCAACUGGAUCUAAACGUUAUGGAGGUCACCCCAUCUGUGCCAGACAUCAUGGAGAUCACCCCAGCUAUGAGAAUCCAUAAAGGACUAGGCUGUGAUGAAACAGAUUCUGCUCACUGUGACUGGGUGAAGGAGUACCGAACCCACUUUGCUGGGAAAGUUCACCUACCACAGGUCACAAGAAUGAACGAGGAUGAUCAUUGACCAAUAACUGUCUGUCUGUCUGUCUAAAAAAAAUAA